UGAGAGCGAUAAGGGGAGGGGUGAAAACGAGCGCACGCGCAGUAACCAGUCUAGCAAGAGCACCGGGGAACAGGUAAGAUCUGGGGAAUCAAGCGGUCUGUCCCCAGUACAACUGACCGCACCGCAACUCUGCCUCUAAUCUCUGAAUGGAUGCUCUGCAACAAUGAAAAUACUCAGCAUGUCAUACAAAUGUUAGAAGUUGUUUGCAGUGUUGUUCCUACAAUAUGAUGGAGACAAGGUGGUGAGGUAAUUUCUUUUAUUGGACCAACUCCUCCUGGUGAAAGAGACAAGCUUUCAAGCUCCCCAGAGCUCUUUAGGUAAUUUACACUUAAUAGACUAAUAAUUGCAAAAGUAUAAAACCAACUCCUUUCAGAAUAACCCAUCUAAAAUCCACCAUAAUCUCCUCUUUGAAUGCCCAAAAGAAGCUAGUUGGAACACGAACUUUUAUCUUCAAAUUCCAGAUACUCUGAGAACAGGAAACAGUCU
Chrysemys picta bellii (western painted turtle) is the source of this 486-nucleotide non-coding RNA. Lineage: Eukaryota; Metazoa; Chordata; Testudines; Emydidae. The record is from RefSeq and is a predicted model, not a curated record.